UCGCUUAACUGUGUCGGUGGAGAUGGCGUUGAUACAGCUACUGCUAUCAAUGAUCACCUUACAAAUUUUAUCAUCAAAUUUUAUGAAGGUAUAGAAAAUAGAGGUCCUACGCCAGUCUUCACUUUCCUUAGUUUGUGCUAGGACAUACCUAACGACUCCAAGCCUAAGGUCUAACUCAGGUGCGGCAUAACCUAGGAUGUCCUCAGUACUCUCAAAUUGCUC
Molecule: long non-coding RNA, 222 nt
Filed under: Elaeis guineensis (African oil palm)
Lineage: Eukaryota; Viridiplantae; Streptophyta; Magnoliopsida; Arecales; Arecaceae
Description: long non-coding RNA (EGUI_LNC030342)
Source: RNAcentral